Molecule: ribosomal RNA, 255 nt
Filed under: uncultured bacterium
Lineage: Bacteria
Description: partial 16S ribosomal RNA
Rfam family: Bacterial small subunit ribosomal RNA
Source: RNAcentral
GCAAGUCGAACGAGAACGGGUUAAAGUUUACUUUAACUGUCAGCUAAGUGGCGCACGGGUGAGUAAUAUAUAGUUAACCUGCCCCAAAGAAGAGAAUAAUUGAUGGAAACGUCUUGUAACUCUCUAUAUGCCUUUAUUACAUAAGUAAGCAAGGGAAACAUUUAUGGCUUUGGGAUGGGACUGUACAGUAUCAGAUAGUUGGUGAGGUAAUGGCUCACCAAGUCAAUGACGCUUAACUGGUUUGAGAGGAUGAUC